ACCUCUCUUCUUCCAACUCCAAAUAAAAGAGAAGGUGGUUUGGUUAUUAUUGUGCUCCAAAGCCAUUCAUCAAUGAUUCGUUAAUUAUUGUUCAUUGUUGCUGCUAUCCUGCAAGGGAAAAUUAAAUUAUUAAAGUGGAAAUUAAGAGGUGUGGUGAAAAUUAGUUUCUUAGAAAGGAGCACAAUAAAAAAUCAUCAGAAAACUAAGGCAACAACAAUAACAAUAAUAAGCAAAUCAUCAAUGGCUUCCAUUCUUAGAACCACUGUUUUGAUCAUAAUCCUAAGCAUGUUGGUGUUGGAGCUACAACCAGCAGUUGUUGUUGAAUCAGCAUUUGCCACUCCUCUAAGCCCUUGCACCGCUCCAAAUUGCACUGUAGAAUGCAAGAAAAUUCUGAAGGAAAAGUUUAAGAGUGCAGAAUGUACAACAUCUACACCUAAUAAGUGUGUUUGCUUUGAUUGAGAAUAGUACAGUGUUUCAAAUUGUAAUUAAUUACUAUCAUUUAUCAUCAUUGAACACAUACACUUUCUCUCUC
Non-coding RNA from Arachis ipaensis, 532 nucleotides. The record is from RefSeq and is a predicted model, not a curated record. NCBI's taxonomy places the organism in Eukaryota, Viridiplantae, Streptophyta, Magnoliopsida, Fabales, Fabaceae.